RNAcentral lists this ribosomal RNA (484 nucleotides) under uncultured bacterium. RNAcentral's name for it is "partial 16S ribosomal RNA". It matches the Rfam family "Bacterial small subunit ribosomal RNA", at positions 30 to 507 of the family's 1533-position model. The record is from RNAcentral.
AUUGAACGCUGGCGGCAGGCCUAACACAUGCAAGUCGAGCGGAUGAAGGGAGCUUGCUCCUGGAUUCAGCGGCGGACGGGUGAGUAAUGCCUAGGAAUCUGCCUGGUAGUGGGGGAUAACGUCCGGAAACGGGCGCUAAUACCGCAUACGUCCUGAGGGAGAAAGUGGGGGAUCUUCGGACCUCACGCUAUCAGAUGAGCCUAGGUCGGAUUAGCUAGUUGGUGGGGUAAAGGCCUACCAAGGCGACGAUCCGUAACUGGUCUGAGAGGAUGAUCAGUCACACUGGAACUGGGACACGGUCAAGACUCCUACGGGAGGCAGCAGUGGGGAAUAUUGGACAAUGGGCGAAAGCCUGAUCCAGCCAUGCCGCGUGUGUGAAGAAGGUCUUCGGAUUGUAAAGCACUUUAAGUUGGGAGGAAGGGCAGUAAGUUAAUACCUCGCUGUUUUGACGUUACCAACAGAAUAAGCACCGGCUAACUUCGUG